AAGAAUUCAGUCCUCAUGAAAAUUCAAAUUUGAAAUCAUACAAAAUUACUCUACAAAAUUCAUUGAAACCCUAACUUUUAUACUGCAGCUCACACCUUCGUCGCCGGCAGAAUUGCUGCCGUAAAUCUCCUCCGCCUGCCUCCGUAAAUCUCCUCCCCCGCCAUUCCGGAGAGACACGCUAUGCUGCCUCCGCCGUUGUUUCCGUAAACUUCCUUCACCGCUUCGACAAAUAGUUCCACCCGCGGUGCCGCCUCUUUUCUUUGCGGCCCCAGGCGAUUCCCGGCGCCGCCCCUUCCCUCUGCCUCAAUCGAUCUGGCGACGCCUUUCCCCCUGCCUCAAUUGGUCUAGCGCGAGGCGAUUCAAACGAUCAUACGCCGCAGUAGCAGGAAACGCGAACUCAGUCCAUCUAAUUCAAUUAAUCUGAUUCAAGGAAGAGUAUCGAUUUGCAGCUUCGUCUUCAUAUAUAUCGAGCUACAAUGCUGUUUGUCAACUUGCAAACAGGGAUUUCAAACACUUGCUCAUCUAAGCAGUUAUUUUGGCAAGCCGGAUAAAGUCAUGGUUCUGGGAGCUUCCAUCCGGUGUCCUUGAUGGCCUCUCGCCUAAGCAAGUCUUGCAGUGUGAAACAGAGGAUGAUUGUGUCGAACUAGUUAAGCAGAGGAUGAUUGUAUAUAAACACUGAGAUCUCGUAGAAUCAUUAGUGUAGUAGCUAGGUUUCUCAUUCGGAUUGAAUUUGUAUAGAUUAUUAUGUGCCAUUAAUAAAUGUUUGUUAUUAUGUGCCA
Long non-coding RNA from Salvia miltiorrhiza (redroot sage), 779 nucleotides. RefSeq lists it as uncharacterized. The transcript is spliced from 2 exons. NCBI's taxonomy places the organism in Eukaryota, Viridiplantae, Streptophyta, Magnoliopsida, Lamiales, Lamiaceae. The record is from RefSeq and is a predicted model, not a curated record.